GACGAACGCUGGCGGCGUGCUUAACACAUGCAAGUCGAACGAAGUGGCGAACGGGAGAGUAAUACGUGGGUAACCUGCCCUCCUUUUUGGGGUAAGCCUUGGAACCGGGGUCUAAUACCGAAUGAAGGGGGAUGGUCUCGUGGCCUAUCGGCUUGUUGGUGGGGAGAUGGCCUACCAGUGCGGUGACGGGUAGCCGGCUUGAUAGGGUACCCGUCCACAUUGGUACGGUGAUGCGGCCCAGGCUCCUACGGGAGGAAGCAGUGGGUGAUAUUGGACAAUGGGCGAACGCCUGAUGCAGCGACGCCGCGUAGGGGAUUAAGGCUUUCGGGUUGUAAACCUCUUUCGCUAGCGAACCGGUACGUGCAGAAGAAGCGCCGGCUAACUACGUGCCAGCCGCCGCGGUAAUUC
This 408-nucleotide ribosomal RNA is filed under the name uncultured bacterium. RNAcentral's name for it is "partial 16S ribosomal RNA". It matches the Rfam family "Bacterial small subunit ribosomal RNA", at positions 28 to 526 of the family's 1533-position model. The record is from RNAcentral.